UCCCUGGUAGCUCAGAGGGUAAAGCAUCUGCCUGCAAUGCAGGAGACCCAGGUUCAAUCCCUGGCUUGGGAA
RNAcentral lists this transfer RNA (72 nucleotides) under Ovis aries (sheep). Its description in RNAcentral is "tRNA-Cys (GCA) (tRNA-Cys-GCA-18-1)". It matches the Rfam family "tRNA". From Rfam's summary of the family: Transfer RNA (tRNA) molecules are approximately 80 nucleotides in length. Their secondary structure includes four short double-helical elements and three loops (D, anti-codon, and T loops). Lineage: Eukaryota; Metazoa; Chordata; Mammalia; Artiodactyla; Bovidae. The record is from Rfam by way of RNAcentral.